This is a long non-coding RNA of Salvia hispanica, 357 nucleotides long. RefSeq lists it as uncharacterized. The record is from RefSeq and is a predicted model, not a curated record. Lineage: Eukaryota; Viridiplantae; Streptophyta; Magnoliopsida; Lamiales; Lamiaceae.
CAGGGUCCCGACGUCUCUCGCAGUGAGCGCCCGUUUUUCCAGCAAGCUCGUCGCCGUCGCCUUCCGUGGAAACUCACUGCCGAGCUAUCAUUGUCGCGGCUUGUUGCUGCUGGCUCAGAUUUGCGCUGCCGUCGUUAUGGUACUUCAAGCUUGCUGACAAGUUAUUCUAUUAUUGCUGUCAAGUUCAGUAGCUUUGGUGGUUCGGAGACAAUUGAUGAUUUAUUCUUUGUGAUUUAUGCAAGUUAUGCUUCAUGUAAUGAUAUAGAAAUAAAAUAAAAAGUUGAGAGGAAGAUUGCCUACUGUAAAUUGAAACUUCAGGGGAAAGCUUUAUAAACCCUCAUGGAAAUUCUCUGCUCA